RNAcentral lists this ribosomal RNA (428 nucleotides) under Streptomyces albidoflavus. RNAcentral describes it as "bacterial LSU rRNA". It matches the Rfam family "Bacterial large subunit ribosomal RNA", at positions 1 to 361 of the family's 2925-position model. Lineage: Bacteria; Bacillati; Actinomycetota; Actinomycetes; Kitasatosporales; Streptomycetaceae. The record is from RNAcentral.
ACAGUGGACGCGAGCAUCUGUGGCCAAGUUUUUAAGGGCGCACGGUGGAUGCCUUGGCACCAGGAACCGAUGAAGGACGUGGGAGGCCACGAUAGUCCCCGGGGAGUCGUCAACCAGGCUUUGAUCCGGGGGUUUCCGAAUGGGGAAACCCGGCAGUCGUCAUGGGCUGUCACCCGCUGCUGAACUCAUAGGCAGUGUGGAGGGAACGCGGGGAAGUGAAACAUCUCAGUACCCGCAGGAAGAGAAAACAACCGUGAUUCCGGGAGUAGUGGCGAGCGAAACUGGAUGAGGCCAAACCGUAUGUGUGUGAUACCCGGCAGGGGUUGCGCAUGCGGGGUUGUGGGAUCUCUCUUCCACGGUCUGCCGGCCGUGGGACGAGUCAGAAACCGUUGAUGUAGGCGAAGGACAUGCGAAAGGUCCGGCGUAGA